AGGAUAAUAGUUAAAUAUAACGUUUAAUUUGCACUUAAAAAGUAUUGUUCAUCAAUUUAUCUUA
This 64-nucleotide transfer RNA is filed under the name Prosopocoilus bulbosus mandibularis. RNAcentral's name for it is "tRNA-Ala". It matches the Rfam family "tRNA". Rfam says of the family: Transfer RNA (tRNA) molecules are approximately 80 nucleotides in length. Lineage: Eukaryota; Metazoa; Arthropoda; Insecta; Coleoptera; Lucanidae. The record is from RNAcentral.